Molecule: ribosomal RNA, 424 nt
Filed under: uncultured bacterium
Lineage: Bacteria
Description: partial 16S ribosomal RNA
Rfam family: Bacterial small subunit ribosomal RNA
Source: RNAcentral
GAAUAUUGGACAAUGGGGGGAACCCUGAUCCAGCCAUGCCGCGUGUGUGAAGAAGGCCUUUUGGUUGUAAAGCACUUUAAGCGAGGAGGAGGCUACUUAGAUUACUACUCUAGGCUAGUGGACGUUACUCGCAGAAUAAGCACCGGCUAACUCUGUGCCCGCAGCCGCGGUAAUACAGAGGGGGCAAGCGUUAAUCGGAUUUACUGGGGGUAAGGCGCGCGUAGGUGGCAAAUUAAGUAAAAUGUGAAAUCCCCGAGCUGAACUGGGGAAUUGCAUUGGAUACUGGUUGGCUAGAGUAUGGGAGAGGAUGGUAGAAUUCCAGGUGUAGCGGUGAAAUGCGUAGAGAUCUGGAGGAAUACCGAUGGCGAAGGCAGCCAUCUGGCCUAAUACUGACACUGAGGUGCGAAAGCAUGGGGAGCAAACA